RNAcentral lists this long non-coding RNA (10300 nucleotides) under Brassica napus (rape). RNAcentral describes it as "long non-coding RNA (BNAP_LNC012224)". The record is from RNAcentral. Lineage: Eukaryota; Viridiplantae; Streptophyta; Magnoliopsida; Brassicales; Brassicaceae.
CCCGUUUAAUUGCAAAGGGAAAACAUUGCAUUAUUUAGGUUAACAACUUAACAUAUGCAAACAAAGACACAAGUUUAAAACACAACACGAAACAUACCAAAGCUUGACCAAAACAACAAAAACUAGAAAUAUGAAAUGAGAAUGCAAAGACACAACAACAACUUUAUUCCAAGACACAUUAAUUCAUUAGGCAUCGUCCUCACCACCAGACUUGCUGCUCUCUCCUUCAUUGGUCUUCAUGUACUCCUCAUCUUCAUUAGAAGGUUCCAUGUUCAGGUUAAAUCGAGAUCCCAUAUGAGUCAUCCCAUCGCCAUGUUUUUGGACUUCUGGAUUAUCCACGAACCACUUGUAGGCGGAAAAAAAUUAUUUGUAAAAGGAUAAAAAAUCAAGAGCCCAAUUAUAAUAAAUUAAGAAAUCGGAGGUCCAUUUAUUAUGAUUUUUUGUUGAAUUGUUUUUUUUAAAUUGGGUUCGUAGGCGGUCCUUUCAUCCCGCUCCCCUCAAAACCGCCCCUGACUAAACUAUUUUGGUAGUGUAUUAAAUAUAUUGGUUGUUCUAAUUAUUAAGUUUAAUGUUUAUGUGUCAUCAUAAUUUACUUGGGUUUACAAUUUUCAUAAUAGGCAAUUUUACUUAAAAAAAUUAUUCUUGUUAAUUAUUAUAUAUUGUAAGUCUUUGCUAAUUCUCUUUUAGCAAAAUACUUUUAAUCAAAUAUAAAUAUAGUUAGAGAGUAGGUAAAAGUGACAUUAAUAUAAAUACUUGUAAUCUUAAAUACAAAUUGAUUAACUGAACUAAAAACUUAAUUUGGAAUGACAAAUUAUAUUUUGUAAUUUAUAAAAAAUGAUUACACUACUACUAAAAGUGUUAUUAAGUGUCCUGCAAACAUCUGCUCAUUUUUCAAAAUCAUCAUUUUUCAAUACCAAGAAUUCUGAACUUAAAUCACAAUAUAAGAUAUUAAUUUGGUUUCCUGCAUUAUCCGAUUUUGUAAUUUGUAUACUCUAUUUUUUUUAUUUUCUGGUUGAAUUAACAAUGCUUGAGAUUUUUCAUUUAAAUAUGCUUUUCCAGCCAUUCAGUCUUAAGAGCAUCUCCAAAAAUGAACUCUAUUUUGAAGUUUUCAAAACUCUAUAUUUGAAGUUUAAAGGUGUUUUUAUCCAAAAGCAAAACUUCAAACAUAAAUUCAAAACUAUUUGUAUUUUAUAAUAUGGUCCUUAUAUUUUUCAUAAAUAAUUUAAAUUCAUAAAACUUUUGUAAAUAACUAGCACAUAUAUAAACAUAUUACAACAAUAUUAAUUAACAAAAUAUUAUAUUAAAAUAUAAAAUUUUAAACAAAAUAACUUAAUUAAUAUUAUACUUCAAGCAAAAUACCAUAUUAUUCCAUAAAGUGAUUUUUGUAAUGCAUAUAUAAUCUACUAGUGCAUUUCGAAGUAAAAAUAGCUCUCCUCAUUUUUAAUUUGUAGAUUAGUGAUAAAAAUUGUUGAAAUCGGAAGAUAUUAAUACUUGUAAAUACAUUAGAUCAUAACAAGAAAGUAAAAGAGAAACAUAAAAUAUUACUAACAGUCUAAUUUUUAUCGAUGAUAUUAAUAUUCGUGAAUAUAUUCAAUAUGAACAAGAAAUAAUUGUACGAAAAUACAUCAUCAACAACAACAACCAUCUUAAAUUACACCAAAACAAAUUAGACAAUAUUUGGAAAUUUUGAAGGUUUCGGAUCAAACUUACUUGACUAUUUUUUUUUUUUUGAUGAAAUUUUAAAUUUAUUGAUCAUCGCAAAAGAAUGUAUGUACAAGACCUAAAGCUUUUUAGGUUUUAAAGAAUAGAGACAAAACUUAGAAAAAUUAAAGAAUAUGUGCUUCAAACCAUCUUCUCAUCAGACCUUGUAGCCUUCGCUUCAGAGCAUAUCCAUCUAAUUUUUAUCGAUGAUAUUAAUAUUCGUGAAUAUAUUCAAUAUGAACAAGAAAUAAUUGUACGAAAAUACAUCAUCAACAACAACAACCAUCUUAAAUUACACCAAAACAAAUUAGACAAUAUUUGGAAAUUUUGAAGGUUUCGGAUCAAACUUACUUGACUAUUUUUUUUUUUUUGAUGAAAUUUUAAAUUUAUUGAUCAUCGCAAAAGAAUGUAUGUACAAGACCUAAAGCUUUUUAGGUUUUAAAGAAUAGAGACAAAACUUAGAAAAAUUAAAGAAUAUGUGCUUCAAACCAUCUUCUCAUCAGACCUUGUAGCCUUGGCUUCAGAGCAUAUCCAGUGGAAGUGAUACGGUUCCUGACCGUUUUAUCAAUCAGUUUAGAAACAUGAUUGACAGGCCGGGCUGAGUUAUUGUGCUUGCGGUCAUUCCGCUCGCGCCAUAUAUAGUAGAUCGUAACCUGCAACCCAAGCCGCAGCAGUAUGAACGUCAAACUGUCAAAAGAUCCCGUGAGAAGAUGCACCAUAGUUGUAUCCCAGUCGGGAUCAGGUUCUUGUCCAAACAGGUUCCCAACCACCUUAAUCCAGAGCGUGAAAGUGUAGGGACACGCAAAAAAAUAAGUGAUCUCUUGUCUCGUCAGGCUCACCACAGAAGAGACAACCUUGGGGAUGGCCCCAUUGACUCGUACGAUGGCCAGUUGAGAGUCGAUUCCUGAUAGCUAACCAAGUGAUGAAAGCAAACCGCGGUACACCCUGUGGGAACCAGACCAGCUUGCUCCAGACCACAUUCUCCUUGCGACAAUGUGGUAUUUUAUUUUACCUUUGGGAUAAAAUGUGAUAUUGGCUGCUCAUCACUUAAUUAUUAGUUAUGUAAUUACGUAAGUCUUAAACUUUGAAUCUAUGAUUUUGUUCACUUACUGAUUUACAGGUAGGGAAAUGCCACUUGUAGGUAGAUGAUAUAUGGUAUUUUAUACAUCUUGUAUAUAUGCUUUUAAAUUGGUUUUCAAGUCUUUAUCGAGUCUUCCUAGUCCUUUUGUCAUUACAGGUCUGGAGUUGUAUUGGAUGGGAGAUGAACCAGCUGGAACAAAAGAGGCAGAAAACAGUGCAAUUUGGUGAUUUUCACGCAGAACAGUCUUGAUGACUGUUCUGGAUAGCGGAGCAACCCGAGUGACUGUUCCGAGGGAGUGUUCCAGCGGUAGAGAUUUUUAAGGAAACAACAACCUAUUUCGGGAUUUGCCCUAAUCUCUCUAUUUUCUCUCCCAGCCGCCUGUGGUUUUGAUAUAUCUUCUUUUUCUGUUUUUCCUGAUCAUUCUACGCUAGUUUACAGAGAGGAACCAGACCCAAAAACUCCAUUGUUGGAUUUGCUUAUUGUAAAGGGAGAAGGAUCUCUACACUCUUGAGAAGAAUCCUGAACCCUAUCUCAUUUAUUUAAUUGAUUCAGCAUGUUUUCUUCAUCUGUUAUCUCUGUGUUCUCUAUGUGAUGUGUAAUUGUAGGGACCAAAAUACAAAUAAAAAUAUGAAACUUCAAAUUUGAAGUUUUGAAAUUCCUUUUUGGAGAGCAAAAAACUUCAUAUUUGAAGUUAUAGACUGUCUUUUGGAAAUGCUCUAACAUCUUGAAAUUUUCGUUGGUGCAAUGGUGCAAUUAGAGAAGCAUUAUCGCAUGGUUUUAGGAGGGUUUUUACCCAAAAAGCAGGGCAUGGACCACCACAAAAAGGAAGAAACGAGUUGCAAAAGUCGCAGGAGAAGAAACGUUUGUUCAUGGUGUUUUUACUGUUUGCGGGCUCCACUGACACGUGGCGGCCCGCGAUAGAUUCACUUUUUAUUUAUUUUUAUUUUUUUAAUCAGACAAAAAAAAAUUAAAAAAAAAUAAGAAACCUAAUUGGGUUUGUGGUAUAAAGAUGCUCUUAGGACAUGAUUAACCUCAGUCUCUUAGCCGGGAUUCUUAACUUAUGAUUUGACAUUUUUUUAUAAUUAUUUUUUUUUACACUUUUCAGCUAAGAAACGGCUCUUAUAUUUCUUAUCUAAGAGAAGGUUCUUAUUUUUUCUUACUUAAAAUCUAAAAAAAUAUUGAGAACCAUCUCUUAUCCGAAGCUAAGAACUCCAGUUAAGAGACUGAGGUUAAUGAUGGUCUAAGAAUCUAAUGCUAAAGAGAAAAUUAGCGAAGACUUACAAUAUAUAAUAAUUAAGGGGAAAACUAAUCGAUGCUGACAUUAAGUAUUCAAAUGUUUGAUCAACGUCUAACAACGUUUUUAUACUUGUGAAAGGUAUUAUACAUGACAUACGCCACUAGAAGAAAACCUAAUCGUAUAUAAAUCCACCCCAGCCAUAGGAAAUCUAUAUAUGACAUAACUCAAAUCAAAACGUUUGCUCUCGAAAUUUCAUCAACGUGAUGACCAAAAACAAACGUUCACUCCUUUUCUCUUCAGAUCAGUUAUUUACUUAUCCAAUGGAUCCAACGGCCGUGCCACCUGACUCCAACCAGUGGCUACCGGCCACAGAUAGGAUCGGUGGAUUCGCUCAGGGGCUCGUUGUCGCCAUUGGUAUACUUCUUCUAAUUACCACAAUCACCAUCACUUCUUAUUGUUUAACUCGAAGCCAUAUCUUCGCAUCUUCCCCGAGGACAAUAAGACGCCGGCAAAGACAAACCGAUGCAACUUCAGGAAAUGGCGAUGAACGGUUUCACUUCGACGGCGAUGAUCAAAACGACACCGUGGUGGUCGAAGUCUUAGGGCUAGACGAUGAGGUUAUCAAGAACUUCCCUAAGCUUCCUUACGAAGAGGCUCGUGUGGGUUAUAGCUUGCAAAGGGAUGCCACUGCGACGUCAUGUUGUUCUAUAUGUCUUGCGGAUUACAAGAAGACAGAUAUGAUUAGGGUUUUGCCGGAUUGUAACCAUUUGUUCCACGACAAGUGCGUUGACCCUUGGCUCAUGAUUCAUCCUACGUGUCCAGUUUGCCGUACGUCUCCAUUGCCGUCUCCGGCGAAGACACCAGUCGCCGACGCUGUUAUCGGUCGAUAGAUCUUUGACUUCGUGUCUUUUCUUUAUUUACUAUAUUUCUAUUUCUGUUGACAUUCUUAGACUAUGCUAUACCUUCAAGUUGUAAAGUUUCGCGGGUGUUAUUUGGUUCGUUAUACAAACAAAAUUUAAUGGUAUAUUCUUGAGACAACAUGAACAGUUUAAUCAGAUUAUAAUAUUUAUUUAUAUUUGAUAUAACAAUUAUAAUCUUUAGUAAACCCUUUGUUCAAAUAAAAAGGUUUUAUUAUUUCAACCGGAGGAAGAAAUUAAUUAUAUUGAUACAUGACGCUACUGAAUACAUUAAUGCAUUUAUGCAGUUUAUAAAUAAUUUUCUCUCAAGUUAUUACAAAUACUAGAUUUGUAUUAUUUUUUUUCAACAAAUACUAGACUUUUAUUGAAGCUAAACGUACGUGCUUUACUGGUUCUUCAUCAAUAAUUUCAUGAACAUUACAUUCUUGUUAACUAGAUUGCGUCCAUCAUUCUACAAAGUGAGGUGAUUUUAGUGAAUGUGAAUACCACAAUGAAUGUUAGAUCUUGCCAACAUGAGAAAAAUAUAAUCAUAUUCAUUUUCAUGUAAUUAUCUCUAAAAAGUAAGAGCAGAAUCCUAGUAAAGAUUAUGGUUUAAUAGUAUAGAUUCAAGUUUUAACAUAACGUAGUGAAGUCCAAUACAAUCUAGGGCCGGAGACUCGGUUGGGUAAUAACUCAGGUCGGAUUAAACUGGUCCAUUUAAUUGCAAAGGGAAAAACAUUUCAUUAUUUAGGUAAACAUGCAAACAAAGACACAAAUUUAAAACAAAACACGAAACAUACCAAAGCUUGACCAAAACAAAAAUAUGAAAUGAGAAUGCAAAGACACAACAACAACUUUAUUCCAAGACACAUUAAUUCAUUAGGCAUCGUCCUCACCACCAGACUUGCUGCUCUCUCCUUCUUUGGUCUUCAUGUACUCCUCAUCAUCAUUAGAAGGUUCCAUGUUCAGGUUAAAUCGAGAUCCCAUAUGAGUCAUCCCAUCGCCAUGUUUUUGGACUUCUGGAUUAUCCACGAACCACUUGUCCAUUAAAUAGACACCUCCCCUUCGCAUCGGGCGGAAACAAGGUCCUGGUCCCCCUUCAGGUGCAACAGCAACACCCGUAGCCUUUGGGAUGAUCUCAUCCCCAAGAAAUGGCUCGUCGACACUUGUAUACGGAUGUUCCGCACCUAACUCUCUCGUCAAAACCGUGAUCUUCUUACUUGCAUAUGACAUUAGCUUCUCAACCUCGGUUUGAGAAAGGUCAGCAAGCAUUCUACCAUUUUGGAUUUGGAGCAUGAGAUGAUCCAUCUCCAACUCCUCGACCACCUUCCGAGAAUGCUCUAGUUUCUUCUCGAUCUUCUUGGUAAUGGUCUUGAUGUAUGACUCUUGAUCAUCCGCGUUCAUGUUCCUCUGGUUUUCCGGUAAUGCGUAAAAACGCUCGAUGAGAGAUUCAGCCUCCUCCUGAGAUGGCCACGCCACCAGCUUACCAUCAUCACGGUUGAAAAAGGUCAAGCAAGCCUUCGUAUCAGACAAGAUGGUUAGUUCUUCAGCCAUUUUCAUCAAUCCUUUCAUCCUCUUCUGGCAAGCAAUGUUUCUUUUCUUUCGAUCCUCGAUCCAAGCAAGCUUCAGUUUUGGUCUUGCCAUGGCCGCUUUUAGUUAUAUCUUUUAUUUGUGAUGUUGAAAUGUAGACAUGCACUUGUAAUCUUAUAUAGAGAUAGUUGAGAAGAAGAGACAAAGACUCAAAAUGGACUACUUUGGGAAUGUAGUCAAUUACCAUUAAUUUUCAACAGAUUUCAUAUAGCAGUAUGGUAAAUAAUAAUUUGACUAUGAUAUACCAUUAUUUUUUAGUCUAGGGGCGGUAUUAUAUUCCGGGGGGCCUAGGCGGAAAAAAAUUAUUUGUAAAAGGAUAAAAAAUCAAGAGCCCAAUUAUAAUAAAUUAAGAAAUCGGAGGUCCAUUUAUUAUGAUUUUUUGUUGAAUUGUUUUUUUUUAAUUGGGUUCGUAGGCGGUCCUUUCAUCCCGCUCCCCUCAAAACUGCCCCUGACUAAACUAUUUUGGUAGUGUAUUAAAUAUAUUGGUUGUUCUAAUUAUUAAGUUUAAUGUUUAUGUGUCAUCAUAAUUUACUUGGGUUUACAAUUUUCAUAAUAGGCAAUUUUACUUAAAAAAAUUAUUCUUGUUAAUUAUUAUAUAUUGUAAGUCUUUGCUAAUUCUCUUUUAGCAAAAUACUUUUAAUCAAAUAUAAAUAUAGUUAGAGAGUAGGUAAAAGUGACAUUAAUAUAAAUACUUGUAAUCUUAAAUACAAAUUGAUUAACUGAACUAAAAACUUAAUUUGGAAUGACAAAUUAUAUUUUGUAAUUUAUAAAAAAUGAUUACACUACUACUAAAAGUGUUAUUAAGUGUCCUGCAAACAUCUGCUCAUUUUUCAAAAUCAUCAUUUUUCAAUACCAAGAAUUCUGAACUUAAAUCACAAUAUAAGAUAUUAAUUUGGUUUCCUGCAUUAUCCGAUUUUGUAAUUUGUAUACUCUAUUUUUGUAUUUUCUGGUUGAAUUAACAAUGCUUGAGAUUUUUCAUUUAAAUAUGCUUUUCCAGCCAUUCAGUCUUAACAUCUUGAAAUUUUCGUUGGUGCAAUGGUGCACUUAGAAUCUUGUGAAAGCCGUAGCUAAUUAAUUAUGUGCCUCUCUAGGAAUUUAACACACAUCAGCACAAGCCUGAAUAAAUGCUAAAACAUUACAAUGAAACCUAGUAUGUCUUGUUAAACCAUUUUUAACGAUCUGAUUGAGACUAAAUCCACAACUGUUGUUAAAGAAGUUUUGAACGGUUUGAUUAUCUUAAUUCAAUUGUAUUUUGGUGACCUUUAUGGUUUUCAAUAAAUGAAUUUAAACAGUGAAAAAAAAGUAAAUAGAUAAAUAUUUAAAAAGCAGUGAGAAUAAGCAGACAAGACGUUUACGUACGUCAUCUGAUCAUCUCAUUCAAGCACUCAACAUGCCACGACUCGAUAUUUAAUUAAUAAGCCCUAUGCCAUUUUCCUAUAGUCUGAACAAAAGUCUAGUACGACAAAUCCAACAUAUUUUGAUCAAACCCAUCAUCGUACACUAAGAUUGGCUAAAACCAUGACUCCAAUUUUCUACUGAUUCGAGGGAUUAUCUACACUUUGGCCCUUUUUAUGCCGGUUAUAUAAAAAGGUCAAAUAAAUCAUUACAAGAAACAUAGAAGUAAAGUUGAGAUCAUAUUUACAUCUUUACAUCUUUACAUCUUUCAUCAAGUUUUUUUUAAACAAGAAAACAAAUCAUUUUUUGUAAAUAAGGGGAAAACUAAUCAAUGCUGACAUUAAGUAUUCAAAUGUUUGAUCAACGUCUAACAACGUUUUUAUACAUGACAUACGCCACAAGAACAUUAUAUGAUAUCAUAUGCAAAUCCACCCUACCCAAGAAAACCUAAUCGUAUAUAAAUCCACCCUAGCCACAGAAAAUCUAUAUAUGACACAACUCAAAUCUAGACGUUUACUCAUCACCAUGAUGACCAAAAACAAACGUUCACUCCUUUUCUCUUCAGAUCAGUUUUUUACUUAUCCAAUGGAUGCCACGGCCGUGCCACCUGACUCUGACCUGUGGCUACCAGCCACGGAUAGUAUGGGAUUCGCUUACGGGCUUGUUGUCUCCAUUGGUAUACUUCUUCUAAUUACCACAAUCACCAUCACUUCUUAUUGUUUAACUCGAAGCCAUAUCUUCGCAUCUUCCCCGAGGACAAUAAGACGCCGGCAAAGACAAACCGAUGCAACUUCAAGAAAUGGCGAUGAACGGUUUCACUACGGUGAUGAUCAAAACGACACCGUGGUGGUCGAAGUCUUAGGGCUAGACGAUGAGGUUAUCAAGAGCUUCCCUAAGCUUCCUUACGAAGAGGCUCGUGUGGGUUAUAGCUUGCAAAGGGAUGCCACUGCGACGUCAUGUUGUUCUAUAUGUCUUGCGGAUUACAAGAAGACAGAUAUGAUUAGGGUUUUGCCGGAUUGUAACCAUUUGUUCCACGACAAGUGCGUUGACCCUUGGCUCAUGAUUCAUCCUACGUGUCCAGUUUGCCGUACGUCUCCAUUGCCGUCUCCGGCGAAGACACCAGUCGCCGACGCUGUUAUCGGUCGAUAGAUCUUUGACUUCGUGUCUUUUCUUUAUUUACUAUAUUUCUAUUUCUGUUGACAUUCUUAGACUAUGCUAUACCUUCAAGUUGUAAAGUUUCGCGGGUGUUAUUUGGUUCGUCAUACAAACAAAAUUUAAUGGUAUAUUCUUGAGACAACAUGAACAGUUUAAUCAGAUUAUAAUAUUUAUUUAUAUUUGAUAUAACAAUUAUAAUCUUUAGUAAACCCUUUGUUCAAAUAAAAAGGUUUUAUUAUUUCAACCGGAGGAAGAAAUUAAUUAUAUUGAUACAUGACGCUACUGAAUACAUUAAUGCAUUUAUGCAGUUUAUAAAUAAUUUUCUCUCAAGUUAUUACAAAUACUAGAUUUGUAUUAUUUUUUUUCAACAAAUACUAGACUUUUAUUGAAGCUAAACGUACGUGCUUUACUGGUUCUUCAUCAAUAAUUUCAUGAACAUUACAUUCUUGUUAACUAGAUUGCGUCCAUCAUUCUACAAAGUGAGGUGAUUUUAGUGAAUGUGAAUACCACAAUGAAUGUUAGAUCUUGCCAACAUGAGAAAAAUAUAAUCAUAUUCAUUUUCAUGUAAUUAUCUCUAAAAAGUAAGAGCAGAAUCCUAGUAAAGAUUAUGGUUUAAUAGUAUAGAUUCAAGUUUUAACAUAACGUAGUGAAGUCCAAUACAAUCUAGGGCCGGAGACUCGGUUGGGUAAUAACUCAGGUCGGAUUAAACUGGUCCAUUUAAUUGCAAAGGGAAAAACAUUUCAUUAUUUAGGUAAACAUGCAAACAAAGACACAAAUUUAAAACAAAACACGAAACAUACCAAAGCUUGACCAAAACAAAAAUAUGAAAUGAGAAUGCAAAGACACAACAACAACUUUAUUCCAAGACACAUUAAUUCAUUAGGCAUCGUCCUCACCACCAGACUUGCUGCUCUCUCCUUCUUUGGUCUUCAUGUACUCCUCAUCAUCAUUAGAAGGUUCCAUGUUCAGGUUAAAUCGAGAUCCCAUAUGAGUCAUCCCAUCGCCAUGUUUUUGGACUUCUGGAUUAUCCACGAACCACUUGUCCAUUAAAUAGACACCUCCCCUUCGCAUCGGGCGGAAACAAGGUCCUGGUCCCCCUUCAGGUGCAACAGCAACACCCGUAGCCUUUGGGAUGAUCUCAUCCCCAAGAAAUGGCUCGUCGACACUUGUAUACGGAUGUUCCGCACCUAACUCUCUCGUCAAAACCGUGAUCUUCUUACUUGCAUAUGACAUUAACUUCUCAAC